Molecule: non-coding RNA, 757 nt
Filed under: Idioscopus ventrispinus
Lineage: Eukaryota; Metazoa; Arthropoda; Insecta; Hemiptera; Cicadellidae
Source: RNAcentral
AAUAAGUUUGAUUCUUGCUUAUUUAUUAGUUGGUUAAUUAGUUUAUAUGUAGUUUUAUUAAAUAUAUUAUUAUGCAGUAAGGAGUUUUGCUUUAAGUGAUUGAUUUUUAUUAAUUUUCAGUAAUUUAAUUAUGAUGGAUAAAUUUUGUGCCAGCAUUCGCGGUUAUACAAUUCAUUUGAAUUAAUAUUAUAUUUUUUAAUUAUUUAUUAUUUGAUGAUUAUAUAUAUGAUAUAUUUAGGUGGAAUUUAUAUAUUUAGUUAUUAAUCUUUCAUUAAAGUUUUUUAAAUCAUUAUAUUAGACUAGGAUUAGAUACCCUAUUAUUUGUUGCCUUAAAUUUAAUUGUUUAUAAAUGAAUAUUAUUAGUUAUGUUCUAUUAAACUCAAAGAAUUUGGCGGUAAUUUAUAUCUUUUUAGAGGAACCUGUCUUAUAAUUGAUAAACCACGAUAGUUCAUACCUUAAUUUUAUUUGUAUAUCUCUAUAUUAUUGGAAUGUUAUUUAAGUAAAUUUUCUUUUAUUAUAAUAUUUUAUAUUAGGUCAAGGCGCAGUUAUAUUUAGGUAAGGAUGGGUUACAUUAAUAUUAAAUAUUUUGGAUUUAAGUUACCUUUAGAUGAUUUUAUUGAAAUAGGAUUUAAUAGUAAUUUUAAUUAAUUAGUUAUUAUGAAUUUAGUUCUAAUUUAUGUACAUAUCGCCCGUCACUCUCUUUAAUAUGGGAUAAGUCGUAACAAAGUAGGUGUACCGGAAGGUGUAGCUAGAAAGU